RNAcentral lists this ribosomal RNA (605 nucleotides) under gut metagenome. RNAcentral describes it as "bacterial LSU rRNA". It matches the Rfam family "Bacterial large subunit ribosomal RNA", at positions 2114 to 2720 of the family's 2925-position model. The record is from RNAcentral.
AUAUUGAGUUUUGAAUUGAUAUGUACAGCAUAGGUGGGAGACUUUGAAGCAGGGACGCCAGUUUCUGUGGAGUCAUCAUUGGGAUACCACUCUUAUUACUUUGGAAUUCUAACGCGCAUAACAAUCCUUAUGGCGGACAGUGUCAGGUGGGCAGUUUGACUGGGGCGGUCGCCUCCUAAAAGUAACGGAGGCGCCCAAAGGUACCCUCAGAUUGGUUGGAAAUCAAUCGCCGAGCGCAAUUGCAGAAGGGUGCUUGACUGCAAGACUUACAAGUCGAGCAGGGACGAAAGUCGGAAAUAGUGAUCCUGCGGUUCAGUAUGGAAUGGCCGUGGCUUAACGGAUAAAAGCUACCCUGGGGAUAACAGGCUGAUCUCGCCCAAGAGUUCACAUCGACGGCGAGGUUUGGCACCUCGAUGUCGGCUCAUCGCAUCCUGGAGCUGAAUUCGGUUCCAAGGGUUGGGCUGUCCGCCCAUUAAAGCGGUACGCGAGCUGGGUUCAGAACGUCGUGAGACAGUUCGGUCCCUAUCUGUUGUGGGCGUUGGAAAUUUGAGAGGAUCUGUCCUUAGUACGAGAGGACCGGGAUGGACGUACCUAUGGUGCACCAG